This 465-nucleotide ribosomal RNA is filed under the name Triticum aestivum (bread wheat). Its description in RNAcentral is "partial small subunit ribosomal RNA". Lineage: Eukaryota; Viridiplantae; Streptophyta; Magnoliopsida; Poales; Poaceae. The record is from RNAcentral.
AUGAAGGAGGCAGGUGGUGGAGGACGAGCUCUUCGCCGGAACCGCAUGUACGACUGUGUGGAAGCCGCAAUCAGUGUCAAAGUCAGAAAGCAUGGGUUUUGGCCUGGUUGCCGAGGUUUAUUCACUGCCAGCACAGCUAGUUUCGAAGACAUGGAGAUCCCGUUGCUUGCUUUUGAAGGAGAUAGGUUGCCAGUUGAUGGUGGUGGAAGGCUUGAGCUUUCACGCCGUGUGGUCUGCGUCGAGCUUCGGCAGCCCGAAGGUAAGCUCUUGUUUUCGGCAAAGGCACUGCGUGGCGGUGAUGAGAAAGACGUGAGGAGAGUUCGUAAAACUUUCACUCCAAAGAAGGUUGGUAAGACCAAGGAGAAUAUCAAGAUUGGUUCCUGUGAGAUGGAGGUCACUGUCACAUGGUCCCUUCUUCCAAAUUGUAAGUAUGAUUAUGACAGUGCUUUGAGAAAGUAUUAUUAA